AUGUUACACGAACUAGAGGUAUGUGCAUGUGAAGAGCUUAUGGAAGGUAGAAAAGUGUUGAAUAUUGUACCUAGUAUUUGCCAAGACCAUUUUUAUGAUUCAAAAAGGUGUUGUUCAAGGAAUGCCCAAAUGAGACAUUUUAAGAGAAAGACAUGUGUCCUCUUUAAGCUGAACAAGUGGAGGCAAGAAAUGGCUCAGCUCACUCAAGUUUUUUUACCACUUGUAUUUGCCCUGAUUGUUCGAGCUAUAUUAUAUUUAAUGAGAUAUAGACCUAUCCAGUCCAUCCAAUCGAGGAAAAACUCAUGGCUUCUAAAAGUUGGAUGGCCAUCUCCCAUCCAACUUCAUCAGAGCAACCAAAGGUUACCUAAAGAUAUGGUAGUCAUCCAAUGA
RNAcentral lists this ribosomal RNA (390 nucleotides) under Triticum aestivum (bread wheat). RNAcentral describes it as "partial small subunit ribosomal RNA". The record is from RNAcentral. Lineage: Eukaryota; Viridiplantae; Streptophyta; Magnoliopsida; Poales; Poaceae.